AUCACUGGGUAGGAAGGAGGUCACGCGCUUCAAAAGGAGGCGACUUUUGAACAAGAAAUACUAAUGAUUCAUUCGAACCAGAAUGAUUCAUUCACUUAAAUGAUUCGAACAAAAACGAAACUCCACUGCUUGCCAGCAGUCGAUUCAAACCCAAAUCUACUUUAAAUUAGGUGUCCACGCAUGCAUCUAACUUCCAAAGGUCAUGAAAAGUUGCAUAACAGGCAGAGAACUUAUAAUUGAAUGUAUGAAUGGUCCAUUUUAUGGGAAGCUGAUAACACAAAUCAAUCUCAAAUCCAGCUAUGGUGAACAAGAGAAAGAAGCCAGACUGUAACAGAAUCAAAAUCGACAUAGAUCAAAGAUAGAUCUAGGAGGAUGUCGAUACUAGCUCACUGAAUACCGCACAGUCCUUCAAAAACAACAUUCUUAUGGAAGUCUCUGGCAGAAUAUCAGCCCUGCUCUGCCAGCUCUUGUUCUUUUAGCUUUUUUUCACAGCAGACGAUUUUCUCUGUUCACAAUCUGUCUCUCCAUCCCUGCAAUGGCCAUUAGGAUCAGUAUUACCAAAUACAGUUUGAGGAUUCAAAAGCGAUGGAUGGAAAUCAGUUUAAGCGCACUGUUGCGUGACUGCAGAGAAAAGCAAACACAUGCUUAUAUGGACCGAUAGAGACACAUGGUGGGUAUCUGGCUUGGAUCGCUCUUUGUUGACUAGCCUGAUAUAUGAUGUUCAGUAUUAAUGUUUUUUGAUCAAUUAAUUGUAAACAGCUCGACUAAAUUUGUGGAAUAUUUUGCAACAACGAACAGCAGCGCAUUUGUGCAGUAAUAAAACACAUCUCUCAGAAGUGAAAUCAUGUGCAUGUGUGUGUGUCUGCUGGUUGAUCAAAGAUGACUGGACACCAUCUUAUUCAGCUUUACCGAAAAGAAAAAAAACACUUUAUAAAUGAUGUUGUGGCAUUGAUGCAGACAGAAUAAUGUGUCCUUUGUCUUAAUGACACAUGAAAAUAUACGUUCAUCUCUCAUUUGCAGGAUGAUGAAUGGAGUGUGUCCCGUUAAAUUCUGUCAUUCAGCCCAGCACACACUACAGAGGUUAAAACUAUUCCCAAUUACAAGCACGAACACAAUAGAGGCUAAAAUGUAUGGUCUAACAAAAACCACAAAAGCUUCAGCUGCUGGAAUUAAUCUUUCAUGACCAGAUUUCAUUUGGAACCGUGGAAUAUAAUCAUGGCAUACGUUCAGAUUUCUCUCCUUAUAUAAUGAAUACACGCAGAAUAAUAAUGACAAACCACUGGUGCAUUACAAACGCUAAUGAAACAGGAUUGUUUUCGUGCUCCUUUGCUGUAUGUUAAGUGUCAUCCACAACGAUUUGUACAAUAUAGACAUACUGUAUGACACAUAAUCUAUUGAGAGCCCUGAUAUAUUAGUAGACAUAGAACAUUUAUGAAAACUAGGAUGCAAAACGUUAUUAAAAGCCAACAUGAU
Molecule: long non-coding RNA, 1473 nt
Organism: Onychostoma macrolepis
Lineage: Eukaryota; Metazoa; Chordata; Actinopteri; Cypriniformes; Cyprinidae
Exons: 4
Source: RefSeq, a predicted model, not a curated record